This 137-nucleotide microRNA precursor is filed under the name Prunus dulcis (almond). RNAcentral describes it as "sRNA ncRNA". The record is from RNAcentral. Lineage: Eukaryota; Viridiplantae; Streptophyta; Magnoliopsida; Rosales; Rosaceae.
GAGAGGAUGGGAGGGAAGAUGAGAUUGAGAGAGAGGACGAGAGGGACGAGUAACAAAAGUGAAAACAAUUUGAAAUAGAUUUCAGUUUUUUGUCCCAUCUCCACUCUCACAUUCUCACUUCCAUUAUCCCUCUUUUU